UACUCGGAAACCCGGUGAAACGAAUUCGGACUGACAGCGCGGGGCUCAAAGGCCUUUGCUUGACGGACUUGCGAGUCUGUCGUGCAACUUUUGUGUCCCGAGUGAAUAAUGAAUCUAAAUGACUCUCAGCAACGGAUAUCUUGGCUCUUGCAACGAUGAAGAACGCAGCGAAAUGCGAUACCUAGUGUGAAUUGCAGAAUUCCGCGAAUCAUUGAGUUUUUGAACGCAAGUUGCGCCCGAGGCUCAUCCCGAGGGCAUGCCUGCCUGAGCGUCCGCUCUGACCCACCCACAAAUCUUCUUUCCCCCCAUCCGUGGGGGGAGUAGAGAUUGGCAAGUGCGAGUGGAAUUGGUCGUCCGGGAAACCUGGCCGUCUCUCCGGAGACGGUUGAAGGACUUCGCGGUUGGCUGAAAACUAAGUACCGUCUGUUGAGAAGCGCACAUGGGGGCAAGUGCGCAUCGCGAAUUGGUGCCGCCCUCCCUCCCUUGGGUACAAGGGCUAGGGGAUGGGCGUUUGGUAACGAAAGCGUUGCGUCUCCCCCGUGGAGUCGAGUCUCUCGGAUCGGGAUUUGUUUUUUCAAAACAAUAUGGGAGUGUUUGGGUCUUUUGAAACUUGUUCCUGGCUUUCCGUUCGGUCCCCGGAGACGGGAGUCGAAACCUGAAGCMAGGGAGUGCAAAAGGCCUGUACGAUGUUUGUUCGGACCUCAGAUCAGACAAGACCACCCGCUGAGUUUAAGCAUAUCACUAAGCGGAGGAAAAGAAACUAACGA
This 767-nucleotide ribosomal RNA is filed under the name Marchesinia bongardiana. RNAcentral describes it as "eukaryotic LSU rRNA". The stretch from base 121 to 274 matches the Rfam family "5.8S ribosomal RNA". Lineage: Eukaryota; Viridiplantae; Streptophyta; Jungermanniopsida; Porellales; Lejeuneaceae. The record is from RNAcentral.